UUGUCUAUGGAAAUGCCAGUGCUGGCUCGAUGGGCUGAAUGGCCUCUACUCCUGCAACUAUUAUCCAUUGUCCAUUGUCUAUAAAUGAAUAGCUCGCCUCUUGUCCACUGAGCCAGAUUUUUUAUCUUGCCAAAGUUGAAACAGUGCCAGCCACUCUGUGAUCAUUACACCCGGAUGCGCGGAGACUGUUUCGAGGCACCUCCCGUCCCUUUGUGACCAUUCGGAGCUGCCUGGAGAUGAUGCGAGCUGCGGUCCUGUCCAUCGUGUUGCUGGCGCUGGCCCUUCCCAUCCUAUCCCAGGACCUCGAUGACUACGACACUCGAUAUUUCCAGUGCUUUGGAGAGAAAGGGGUCUGUCGCGAUGAGAACUGUUUGCCCGGGGAGGUGUUCAACAGCGAAAGGUGUUUCUUGGGGUUGAAAUGCUGCGUGCGGAGAGGCCACUGAGCAACGGCUCAGCCCAGAGGCACCUAGAGGACUUCCCCCGAAACGGAAUCACCUCCCAGGCCGAUCGGAUUGCAUUCAAUGUUUCGCUGCUGCUUAAAUAAAAACACAUCAUCUUG
Leucoraja erinaceus (little skate) is the source of this 559-nucleotide long non-coding RNA. RefSeq lists it as uncharacterized. Lineage: Eukaryota; Metazoa; Chordata; Chondrichthyes; Rajiformes; Rajidae. The transcript is spliced from 2 exons. The record is from RefSeq and is a predicted model, not a curated record.